Pelobates cultripes (western spadefoot toad) is the source of this 359-nucleotide non-coding RNA. The record is from the annotation of a GenBank genome assembly. NCBI's taxonomy places the organism in Eukaryota, Metazoa, Chordata, Amphibia, Anura, Pelobatidae.
GAAAGCCUCACAAUCCUGAUCCACAACUUACUUCAUCGUGUAAUACCAAAGCUGGAGAUCCCGAAGAUACCACACACACCCGGUUUGCCCGCUGGAUUGCCGGGUCGGAAGGCUUGGGGCCUACACCAUGCAAAGCAGGGGAGAGGCGGCCGCUCUCCCAGCUCACCAAAGCAUGUGGCACCCGAAGCAUCGGGCGUCCCCUCCCCCCCUUGGACUGGUGAGGGUUAUCCCGGUCCCAAUCGUCCAAACCCAUCUGCCUAGAGGGUCGGUAAACGACAAGACAGGCCUAAAACUAGCAAUAAAGCAGCAAACCACUCGCUGUCCUAAGAUGGCGGACACGCAGCCCAACAAAGGCCUCG